This 2618-nucleotide long non-coding RNA is filed under the name Nicotiana benthamiana. RNAcentral's name for it is "long non-coding RNA (NBEN_LNC039293)". Lineage: Eukaryota; Viridiplantae; Streptophyta; Magnoliopsida; Solanales; Solanaceae. The record is from RNAcentral.
AAGGAUUCUCACUGAGAAGCCUAACUAAUGCAGCAAUGGCUGCAUGCUGCUCCCUCUCUAGACCAGUAUUUAGAAUCUCAACCAAAGGCUGAACAGACUGUCUAGCUGAUUCUGCAUUCCUGAUGUGAUCUGCAGAGAAUAGGUUUUCCAAGGCUUUGGCAGCACUAUACCUUGCCCCUCUUCCACCUGAGAAUAGGUUUUCCAGGGCUUUGGCAGCACUAUACCUUGCCCCUCUUCCACCAAGACGUAAAACUGCAAUUAGCUGACCAACAGCACCAAAAGCAGAUUCGUGCCUGCAUAUUUCAGCAGUAGUAAAUAGGAUACCUAAUAAAUCAGUGGCAGCCUCCUCAGUUGCAUCUUGUGGGCCAAGUGAAAGGUAUUUAGUCAAUGCUUCCAGAACCCCAGAUUCCACCAUAACAAUCUUAUUUGAAGGACAAUCUUUGGCAAGCUGAAUCAGAAGUCCAAGAGCUAGAAAAGGGGCACCAGGACGAUCUGGGAUAGGUUUUAGCAAGUCAACAAGGGCUGGUAUAGCUUUCCUAGAAGUUGCACCAACCCUCUAGAAAAGGCGCACCAGGACGAUCUGGAAUAGGCUUUAGGAAGUCAACAAGGGCUGGUAUAGCUUUUCUAGAAGUUGCACCAACCUUUAUAUCAUCGACCCUGAACAACCUCUCAAGUGCAACUUGAUCUGGGUUACGGACCAAGGCAAAUUCCUCCGAUAGUGCAACAAGGUCCUUUAUAUCCUCAUCAGCACAACCAAGCAAUGUUAUGAGUCCUGAUGGUGCACCUGAAUUUGCAACAGACAACAGAGUUCCCCUGCUACCAUUACAGACAAGGCUGGCUACAGCUUGUGCGGCGAAAUACCUGUUUGCUGACUCUUCUGACUUCAGCAAAUUACCUAGCACAGGUAUAGCUUUCAUUGUUCCAUGUGCUCGUAUGAUGUCUCUAUCUUGAAAUAAGAUAGCCAGAAGCAAUCCACAAAUCCAUAUGCUGCUGUCCUCCUUGAAAUCAAUCUGUAAAAGUAUUAACAAAGGUCAUAUAGUGCAUUGGAACAAGAUAAAUACCAUAACAAAUUCAAGAGUCUUGGUUAGAUGUGGUUUUAUCACAGAAAGAAAGCACUUCAACUAAAGAUAGUACUUACCUGUGUAAACUGAGUAAAAGAUUGAGUAAUUCUCUCUGUAAGAACUUCAAUUGCACCAGCCUCCAUAAUCUCAACUUUACUUUGGUCAUCGCGACUUGCAAGAGCUGAAAGUAGCCAUAUAGCUAUAUUGACCCCGGAAACAACUGAAGUACUUUUCUCCGUCUCAUCCUUUCUUGAUUCUUCUUCAGCAUCCCUGGAGAUGCUAAUCGCAAUCUUACCCCCCUGGUCCUCCAAAUGUAGAGACUCUGAAGCAUUUAGCAUCCCAACAAAAGAUUGAAUGAGUGGAACACAGGACUUUGAUUCAUUUAAAUCUUCCACCACUCUUUGAUGAUUCACUUUUGCAGCGCAAACAAGAAGUGCACUUCCUCCUAUUUUAACCAAAGCAUUGGAGGAACAGAUUACCCUUCUUGCAACUGAAGAAAUGCAUCCAUAGGCACAAGCAAUAGAAUCGCCAAGAACAGCGGGCUGAGCUUGGCAGAGUCUUGACAAUAUCUCAAUAGCUUUGUCUUGCAAAAAAUUACCCUCCUUGCAAUUGAAGAAAUGCAUCCAUAGGCACAAGCAAUAGCAUCGCCAAGGACAGUGGGCUGAGCUUGGCAGAGUCUUGACAAUAUCUCAAUAGCUUUGUCUUGCAAAACUGGUGAGGCAUCAGCAAUGCAUGAAACUACUGGAAUUAUGCUAUUAGGGUAUUCAGCUAGAACUGCCCAUGCAGGUUUGAUACCACUAGCUCCUUCCAGCCUUAAAAGGAAACAAAGUGCAUCUAGAGCUUCUGAUAUAGCAAGAGAGUCACUGCCAGUUGAUUCUAGGAAAGAAACUAAUGCAAGAACUGUUACACAACGGUUAACACAAUCAGUUAAGGCAGGAUUAACCUGACUAAAUUGAAGAAGACGAGCAAUUGCUGCAGCAGCAUGGGUCCUUCCACCAGUUGUGCCUUCACGAAGAACUCUAGUAGCAGGCAAGAUAAUCUCUUCAGGGAUUGCUUUCUCAGACACCUCCGGAUCCAAAAGAAGAUUGGACAAAGCACAUACUGCUUGCUCUGCAACUUGCAAGACUGAGGACUUUGCAAGCACCAUUAAUGAAGGCAAUGCAUCUCUAGCAAUUGCUGCAAUGUCACGGCUUUCUCUAAUAGAGAGAAAUAUCGCAGCAAGGCAGCGCGACGCAUCCACUAAGAUGGUUUCAGGUUCAGCAUUCAGAAGCUUCACGAGUGACCACAAAGUUUUGACAGCAAGGCUACUUUCUCGCAAGUCCUUCCUGAGAUGGAAAAUUCCAGCAAGAGCUGAAGCAGACUUGGCCUGAGUCUCUUCCUUGGUGGAGCUUAAUAUCUUUAUCAUCGUCUCAACUGCAUCAUUUGCUGCACUACCUUCACGCAACAUAUCGCUCAGAGGGGCCACAGAGAGCAAACUUUUUAAUGCAUCUAAGACAUAAAUCUUAGACUCUGGAAGAUCACUAGUCAAUAGUGCAGUGAGUUGACUAAUAGUUGCAG